AUUUCCAAUUCUUCUACUACGCUAAUUUUAGCCUGAUCCGCUUUCAUUUUACAGACUACAACAAAAUCCAAAAAAAUAAUAAUUUCCCCUCAUUUUUUUCUUCAUUUUUUUAAGUGGUCAAAAUUAAAAUCGAUGAUUAGCCCAAAAAAAUUAAAAAUAAAAAAAUAGCAAUCUCUGCACCUUUAAAUUUCAAAUAUUUCUUUUCCAAAUAAAAACAGAGUAAUGUCUUUCAAUGUCUUGUUUUUCCGUCCACUUUACAAAUUACCCAGUGCUUUGUGUCUUUAUCAUAAUGUCCCACUAAAUCCCCUUAAAGUUUCUCCUUAUCAUGAGGAAAAUUGGAUCAGAGGUAUGCUUUUGUAAAGCACUAUAUGCUCAAUGCUGCAAAACAGGACUGCGUUGCCUAACAUAAAUGGACAGCGGUGCUGUGCUUCAGUUUCAAAGCAGCUUUUGCAUAAAAAUUUCCCUGAAGCAAGCAGCUUUCUAUUUGCAGGUCGGCGUCGCUUUACUAUUUGCCUUUACCAAGGUGCUGCAUACCUGCGAUAACAACGUGUUCUCUUGCAAGCUCCUCUCAGACUGCGUUGUUAUCGAUCCGUGUUUGCUUUUAGACAAACAGUAGAAUUUCUCCUCACACAGUUCUGUUAGCAGAGGUAUUUCAGAUAUUUUAACGGGUGGCCAUUUUGGGUUGGAAACUUGUGUUCCAAGCCAUUCCCUGAAGCUACAACAACUGGCUAACUGCUGUAGCAUUAUUAGGACGAUUGUAAAGCUAAUAAUUUGAGUCUGUUGUUUGAGCUUUUUCGUCGCCCCUGUUGACGGUUUUUCGUUUAUUCUCCUCAGCUGAGGUGAUAGGUGUUGCCUGUUUUGGUGUAAAACUAACUUUUCCUCAAAGCUCAGUUUCAGGCAUCUACAUAAAAAAAAAAUAAAAAAUGUAAUCCAUUGUUAUAAAUGUUAAUCCCAUUAUAAUUCCAGCAUGGCUCGUGAUUAGGCCUGUCAUGAUAACAAAUUAUGCCGGACCAUAAACAGUCCCAGUAAUUAUUGCGAUUAGGCCUGCCGCAAUAAACAGUUAAUCAGUUAAUUGCAUGAUCAAUUAAAAUGAUUUAACGUUUUUCUCUUUUCACUCUCUUUCUACCCAAAGCUGGACAAUAAAGGUUUUCAGUCUGAGUCUCAACUCGCCUGUCUGCUUCUUUUUGAAGACUAGUUUUUCUUACAGACACUUCAUAGUUCCUUUUAUUUGUCGUCUCUGUUGUUUUGUUUAUUUAUUUUCAAUAUUUAAAAUAUCUCCCAGUUCCAGUGUUAAAUGUUCAUUAGAAGUAUAAUGAACAUUUCUAAUGAACGUGGUUGAGAACGUGUUUUUGCGUUAUUAAACCAUUACUAUUAUAUUUCUUGAAAAUGGUCUCAAAACGGCAAUAUUAUCGUUUAUCGCAAUGACUUCUGGGACAAUUUAUCGUCCAGCAAAAUGUGUUCUUGGACUGGCCACGUUGUGAUAAACAAUGUUGUUGCUCUUUUGCGAACAUUUUCAAGCGCUAUUUUGAUCACAGCGUAAAAACUAAAACCCGCCUUCUCGAAGAAAUAUCCAAAAUAAAACUCAGCAACCAAAACCGGUAAAAUGUAAAUGAAAACCACAGACAAGCAAAACCAUAAAUAAAUAAAACCGCUUAUGAAAUCUCUGCAAACAAAAUUGCCCUGCAAAAAAUGUUAGUCAUUAGAAUAGAAAUUAUCAAGCUGAUUUUUAUUAAUUGAUUAAUUGCUCAUUGUGACAGGCUGGUAAAGUGGCAUUUGGUUGUUUGUUUGUGUUUGUGUGUGUGUGUGUGAGAGAGAGAGAGAGAGGGGGGAGCAGAAGCAAGAUGUGAUUCUGUCUUUGAUUAAUUUCCAGCAGGUUUUGGAUUCACCCAGGGAACCUUUGCUGCCAGAGGGAAGAACUGACCGGGCCAUAGGGGAAAGCUGCUGAACUCCGACUGCUGGAUUCACUUUUUUCUUUCUUUCUUUUUUUACUAUGGUUGUUUUUAUUUUAUUUUUUUUUAUUUCACAUUUGCAUCACAAGGGAACACAUCAUAUCUAUUCUGACUUUUCUGACAACUUAGAAUCACUUUUACUGACUUGAUCAGGAGCUUGGGAACUACUGGAUCGAGCCAGAGGAGAUGUUGGAGUAAUUGAAACGUCUUGUAGUGCCUGAGAGGUCUGUUAUGUUCACUAGCAGAAAUCAGCGAAGACUUUGCCUCGGCGGUAAAUGAAAUUAGAAAGCACUUUAUAGAAUCUGGCUUGACAGAAAGAGGGGGGUUUAAAUAACGUCUACCUGCAGAAUAAUAUAAGUUUGAUAACUGGGUUUUCUGUAUAAUCUUUUUUGUAUGAUAAGACUUUUUUCUUUGCCUUAUAAUAAAGAAACUACUUAAUAUUC
Long non-coding RNA from Gambusia affinis (western mosquitofish), 2392 nucleotides. RefSeq lists it as uncharacterized. Lineage: Eukaryota; Metazoa; Chordata; Actinopteri; Cyprinodontiformes; Poeciliidae. The transcript is spliced from 2 exons. The record is from RefSeq and is a predicted model, not a curated record.